UAAUCAUCCAGCAGCUAUCCGGGUACAUUCGGCUGACUUGAUCCUCUUUAAAACAUCAGCCUGGAAACAGUAUCUGUAGAAAUCAGUUUUGUUAGUUCUAAAGCAGGGCUUCAUUGUUGGGAUGUGUUGUCUGCCUUCGUUAGCAGAUUUCAAUCAUAGCCCUAAAUGGAAGACACAUUUUAGGGCUGUUGCUGCUAUAGAACUCCAGGUCUUUCUGCUUAACGGUUUCACACUUACGUGUGAAGGGAGGACACCCUUGGCCAAAAGAACCAAGGCUGCUCAGUUAGCUGCUGGUUGUCCUCCAGCAAAUUCCUAGAACUAAAUACCUGGUGCUGAGGUGUCACGACUCAGCAAGUCCUAGAACCUGUGCUUAUGACAGCACUCUGAUAAUUCCCGGUUAUUGCAUCACUCCCUGAUGGAAACCCAGCUUUUAUUUCAGCAAAAGUAAUGGAUUGUUCCAGACCCCUGACCUCCCUUGAAGAUGUCUUUUUGUUGGAUCUGGCCCUGUAUAUUUUCCAGUUGGUUCAAGACCUAGAGAAAUUUCUACAGACUCUCUCAUACCAGAAUGACAAGACCCAAAUGGGAGAAUUAGGCCAGAAGCAACAAUGCCCUCAGGCUUAGUGAAAUUGACCAAAGUUUGAAGUUAUCGCAAACAGUGUGGCCAUUUCUCCUCAGACACUGGACAUCCUACAUCUGUUAUAUGGUUUACCAUCCAUCCACUUCCUUGCUAUAGCUCCAGGUCCACAAUUCUUUGUCAUGUCAUUGCUCUUGACCUAUACCAUGACUGAUAACCAUGUACAUUUUUAAGAAAAAAAUGUAAAUUAAUUAAAAUAAUUUAAAAACACA
RNAcentral lists this long non-coding RNA (846 nucleotides) under Homo sapiens (human). RNAcentral describes it as "HSALNT0135080". Lineage: Eukaryota; Metazoa; Chordata; Mammalia; Primates; Hominidae. The record is from RNAcentral.